This 85-nucleotide transfer RNA is filed under the name Nitrososphaeraceae archaeon. RNAcentral describes it as "tRNA-Leu". It matches the Rfam family "tRNA". Rfam says of the family: Transfer RNA (tRNA) molecules are approximately 80 nucleotides in length. Their secondary structure includes four short double-helical elements and three loops (D, anti-codon, and T loops). The record is from RNAcentral. Lineage: Archaea; Thermoproteati; Nitrososphaerota; Nitrososphaeria; Nitrososphaerales; Nitrososphaeraceae. RNAcentral also lists the same sequence under 1 other name.
GCGGGGGUUGUAGAGCCUGGCCAAAUACGCGGGACUUAAGAUCCCGUCCUUUAGAGGUUCGUGGGUUCAAAUCCCACCCCCCGCA